UGGUAGUNCACGCCGUAAACGAUGAGUGCUAGGUGUUAGACCCUUUCCGGGGUUUAGUGCCGCAGCUAACGCAUUAAGCACUCCGCCUGGGGAGUACGACCGCAAGGUUGAAACUCAAAGGAAUUGACGGGGGCCCGCACAAGCGGUGGAGCAUGUGGUUUAAUUCGAAGCAACGCGAAGAACCUUACCAGGUCUUGACAUCCCUCUGACCGCUCUAGAGAUAGAGUUUUCCUUCGGGACAGAGGUGACAGGUGGUGCAUGGUUGUCGUCAGCUCGUGUCGUGAGAUGUUGGGUUAAGUCNNNCAACGAGCGCAACCCCUAUUGUUAGUUGCCAUCAUUCAGUUGGGCACUCUAGCGAGACUGCCGGUAAUAAACCGGAGGAAGGUGGGGAUGACGUCAAAUCAUCAUGCCCCUUAUGACCUGGGCUACACACGUGCUACAAUGGCUGGUACAACGAGUCGCAAGCCGGUGACGGCAAGCUAAUCUCUUAAAGCCAGUCUCAGUUCGGAUUGUAGGCUGCAACUCGC
This 527-nucleotide ribosomal RNA is filed under the name uncultured bacterium. Its description in RNAcentral is "bacterial SSU rRNA". It matches the Rfam family "Bacterial small subunit ribosomal RNA", at positions 788 to 1315 of the family's 1533-position model. The record is from RNAcentral.